GACGAACGCUGGCGGCGUGCUUAACACAUGCAAGUCGAACGGAAAGGCCCUGCUUUUGUGGGGUGCUCGAGUGGCGAACGGCUGAGUAACACGUGAGUAACCUGCCCUUGACUUUGGGAUAACUUCAGGGAACUGGGGCUAAUACCGGAUAGGAGCUCCUGCGGCGUGGUGGGGGUUGGAAAGUUUCGGCGGUUGGGGAUGGACUCGCGGCUUAUGAGCUUGUUGGUGGGGUAGUGGCUUACCAAGGCCUUGACCGGUAGCCGGCCUGAGAGGGUGAACAGCCACAUGGGGCCUGCGAGACGGCGCAGACUCCUACGGGAGGCAGCAGUGGGGAAUAUUGCACAAUGGGCGGACGCCCGAGGCAGCAACGCCGCGUGCGGGAUGACGGCCUUCGGGUUGUAAACCGCUUUCGCCUGUGACGAAGCGUGAGUGACGGUAAUGGGUAAAGAAGCACCGGCUAACUACGUG
RNAcentral lists this ribosomal RNA (468 nucleotides) under uncultured bacterium. RNAcentral describes it as "partial 16S ribosomal RNA". It matches the Rfam family "Bacterial small subunit ribosomal RNA", at positions 28 to 507 of the family's 1533-position model. The record is from RNAcentral.